This 443-nucleotide ribosomal RNA is filed under the name uncultured bacterium. RNAcentral describes it as "partial 16S ribosomal RNA". It matches the Rfam family "Bacterial small subunit ribosomal RNA", at positions 338 to 795 of the family's 1533-position model. The record is from RNAcentral.
CCUACGGGGAGCUGCAGUGGGGAAUAUUGGGCAAUGGGCGCAAGCCUGACCCAGCGACGCCGCGUGAAUGAAGAAGGCUUUCGGGUUGUAAACUUCUUUUCUGAGGGACGAAGAAAGUGACGGUACCUCAGGACUAAGCCACGGCUAACUACGUGCCAGCAGCCGCGGUAAUACGUAGGUUGCAAGCGUUAUCCGGAUUUAUUGGGUGUAAAGGGCGUGUAGGCGGGAAAGCAAGUCAGAGGUGAAAACUCAGGGCUCAACCCUGAGCCUGCAGUUGAAACUGUUUUUCUUGAGUGAUGGAGAGGCAAUCGGAAUGCCGGGUGUAGCGGUGAAAUGCGUAGAUAUAAGGAGGAAAACCAGUGGCGAAGGCGGAUUGCUGGAUAGUAACUGACGCUGAGGCGCGAAAGCGUGGGGAGCAAACAGGAUUAGAUACCCGAGUAGUC